Molecule: small nuclear RNA, 96 nt
Filed under: Erinaceus europaeus (western European hedgehog)
Lineage: Eukaryota; Metazoa; Chordata; Mammalia; Eulipotyphla; Erinaceidae
Source: RNAcentral
GUGCUCACUUUGACAACAUAUACAUUAAAGUUGCAAAAAUUAGCCUGGCCCCUGCACAAGGAUGGCAUGCAGCAUUAUGCAUUUUUAAAAUGUCUG